GACGAACGCUGGCGGCGUGCUUAACACAUGCAAGUCGAGCGGAAAGGCCCUUUCGGGGGUACUCGAGCGGCGAACGGGUGAGUAACACGUGAGUAAUCUGCCCUUGGCUUUGGGAUAACCACCGGAAACGGUGGCUAAUACCGGAUAUGACGGGCUCCGGCAUCGGGGUUCGUGGAAAGUUUUUUCGGCCAGGGAUGUGCUCGCGGCCUAUCAGCUUGUUGGUGGGGUAAUGGCCUACCAAGGCUUCGACGGGUAGCCGGCCUGAGAGGGUUGACCGGCCACACUGGGACUGAGACACGGCCCAGACUCCUACGGGAGGCAGCAGUGGGGAAUAUUGGACAAUGGGCGGAAGCCUGAUCCAGCAACGCCGCGUGAGGGAU
RNAcentral lists this ribosomal RNA (380 nucleotides) under uncultured bacterium. RNAcentral's name for it is "bacterial SSU rRNA". It matches the Rfam family "Bacterial small subunit ribosomal RNA", at positions 28 to 409 of the family's 1533-position model. The record is from RNAcentral.